GCCUACAACAUAGCGUUAAUGCAUUGGAUCCCAUUAUAACUCUGUAGUUAAGUGUGCUCAGGCUAGAGUAGUACUGGGAUGGAUGAUCACCUAGGAAGUCCUACUAACUUAUAUGCC
Molecule: non-coding RNA, 117 nt
Organism: Picea glauca (white spruce)
Lineage: Eukaryota; Viridiplantae; Streptophyta; Pinopsida; Pinales; Pinaceae
Source: Rfam